Molecule: ribosomal RNA, 475 nt
Filed under: uncultured bacterium
Lineage: Bacteria
Description: bacterial SSU rRNA
Rfam family: Bacterial small subunit ribosomal RNA
Source: RNAcentral
GACGAACGCUGGCGGCGUGCCUAACACAUGCAAGUCGAGCGGGGUUGAAGCGAGAGGUAACUCGAGUUUCUACCUAGCGGCGGACGGGUGAGUAACGCGUGGGCAACCUGCCUCAAGGUCUGGGAUAACAGCCCGAAAGGGCUGCUAAUACCGGGUAUGCUUGUGGCCUCGCAUGGGGCUAUGAGCAAAGGGGAAACCCGCCUUGAGAUGGGCCCGCGUCCCAUCAGCUAGUUGGUGAGGUAACAGCUCACCAAGGCGACGACGGGUAGCCGGCCUGAGAGGGUGACCGGCCACACUGGGACUGAGACACGGCCCAGACUCCUACGGGGGGCAGCAGUGGGGGAUCUUGCACAAUGGGCGAAAGCCUGAUGCAGCGACGCCGCGUGAGCGAAGAAGGCCUUCGGGUUGUAAAGCUCUGUCUGGAGGGACGAAGGAAGUGACGGUACCUCCGGAGGAAGCCACGGCUAACUACGUG